AACGGAGUCGAUGAGAAGGAGCUCCUUAGUACCACGACUACCGCCCCGACAUCCGUUCUGAGCCCCAGACAUGAUGUUAUUCUCGUCUAUGUGACGGGAGAUCUUGAGGCUCAGAACGGAUGUCAGUGUCUUAUAGAUGGUAGUAAGACACGUAAUGGGACGAUACUUAGCCGGGUCGGUGGCAUCGGUGGACUUUGGAGCUAGGUGAGUGAUCCCGGUAGUGAAAAGGCUCGGGAGUGCCCUCUGCUCGAGAGCCUCUUGGAAUUGUCGAGCCAAGGUCGCAUGGCAAACCGAAAAACCUUUUAGCCAGUAGUGAUGCAGUCCGUCGGGUCCCGGGCUUUUCCAGUUCGGAGCCCGCCUUACUGCACCAGCUACAUCCUCCGCAGAGAUGGCGACCGGGUUCAUCGGCUCUAUUCUGGCACAUGCUUCCUCUACCGCCACAAUCCAAGGGCCCUCUUCAUGCUCCACCUCUCUCGACCACACCCCCCGCCAGAAAGCGACUAGGUCGGCCGGGUCUGGUUGCUGAGAGGUAGAGCAGACUGCUGGGCACUCCAGUCUUUUGUAGAACCUUUUCUGAUCACUCGAGAAGAGACGAUUUUGCUGAAAUCGCUCAACUCUUGCCGAGUAUCGUCGGAUGCGGUUCCCCCAUGCAGCGAUUUUCUGCUUCAGGUCGUCGAUGCGCUCUGUUAGCUUUUGCGCAAUAUCGGGCUGGUCCAACCUGACCCCACACCCAUUAACACUUUAAC
Long non-coding RNA from Maniola jurtina (meadow brown), 746 nucleotides. RefSeq lists it as uncharacterized. NCBI's taxonomy places the organism in Eukaryota, Metazoa, Arthropoda, Insecta, Lepidoptera, Nymphalidae. The record is from RefSeq and is a predicted model, not a curated record. The transcript has 3 exons.